GGUAAGGCAGUGAGUGAUCGGUCUCCCGCUCCUUGUCCUAACCCUAUAAAAUAUUUUCAAUGACCACGGGCGAUUUCAUUUCCCUCACAUUCAAGAGGCCUAUCCCCGCAGAUAUAUAAAGAAAAGCUAUUAAAAUGAAUCAUGAUUAUCUUAUUCCGUUAGGAAGGAAUGUAAUGAAAGCAGUAAAGGAUAUUUCCAUGUAUUUGGAAAAUGAAAUUGGAAUAUAGGUUGCCAUUUAUAAAUUUUGUUUAUUUCAAGGAAAAACGACAUGUUAGAUUUUUUUUUUUUCCAUGAGGAUCCCUGGGAGGCCUUGAAACAAAGUCUUGUGUAUUUUUUUUCAAGGUGAACUACUUGGAAUUUUUUUUUGUCUAUUUUUAGAUUAAUUAACUUGUGUCCUUAGGAUACAACUUUUUUAAAUCUAGAGGUCAUCGGUCACGCUAAAAAUUUAAACUUGUUAAAAAGCAAAAUGUUGGAACUUUGCAUUGGAAAAAUAAUUUUUUAAACUUUAGACAGCUUUAUCCAUCAUUUUCGAAAGAGAAUAGUUCAAAUUUAAUUUUCUUAACAAAUGCUUUAUGGGAACACUUUAGCAUUUUCUAAAUCUAAUACUUCUUAAGAUUUAUUCUAUGAAUCCAGGACCUUCUAGUGAGAGUGUCUCAGUGGUAAAUACCACUUCUUCCAUAAAGCUAUAUAUAUAUGGAUGUAUCAAAUGAGAGGAGUUGUUAUUGUGAGAGGGUGAGAGGAGCUAUUAUUAGCCUUUGGAUGAAAAUGAAGGGUUGAGAUUACAUUGUAUGGAUUAAGUCUCACGUGAGUUUAUGUUUUCUUCAUAGUCCUGCCAAUUUCUUUUUCCCAGUUCAUGAUGCAUCUUCAUUCUUCUCAAAUUGUUUAAAAAACCCAUUAAUAUUUUGUGAAUACAAAACUGAAAAUUAAGAGAUUCAUAAUUCUUUGAUGAAGAAAAAAAAUUAAAAAUUAAAAGGGUUAUUUGAUACAGUUGAUUUUAAGAAGAAUUCAGAGUUCUUGCUAUUUAAUCUUUUCUGAAGAACAAAUCUCCAUUCGUUUCAGAGACCUUCGAUUGAAGAAUUAUGAGGUUUCUCACCAUGGAUUUUUUAUGAAGAAAAAAAAACUCCCAAAUAUAAGAGGUUUUUGACGGGGAACAAGGAGAUAUAACCAAAGGGUGAUAGGGUUUCAAAUGAGAGGAGAUGUUAAAAUGAGAGGAGAGAGGGUUAAAUGUCACCCAUUAGAUUAAAUGUAAGGUUCAGAUUAGAGGAGUUUUUAAACCACCUCACGUGACACUCUUUCUCUCUCAUUCAAUUGCCUUCUCUCCCAUCAAAGUAUGCCUCUUCCACUCCUUCUCUUCUGGGUAUGAAUCAACGACACAAAUCAAGCAUUCAUACAUCCUUCUUAUAUUUUAUUUAUGACAAGAAAUUGAUUUA
RNAcentral lists this long non-coding RNA (1430 nucleotides) under Medicago truncatula (barrel medic). RNAcentral describes it as "long non-coding RNA (MTRU_LNC002578)". Lineage: Eukaryota; Viridiplantae; Streptophyta; Magnoliopsida; Fabales; Fabaceae. The record is from RNAcentral.